Molecule: ribosomal RNA, 484 nt
Filed under: uncultured bacterium
Lineage: Bacteria
Description: partial 16S ribosomal RNA
Rfam family: Bacterial small subunit ribosomal RNA
Source: RNAcentral
AUUGAACGCUGGCGGCAGGCCUAACACAUGCAAGUCGAGCGGAUGAAGGGAGCUUGCUCCUGGAUUCAGCGGCGGACGGGUGAGUAAUGCCUAGGAAUCUGCCUGGUAGUGGGGGAUAACGUCCGGAAACGGGCGCUAAUACCGCAUACGUCCUGAGGGAGAAAGUGGGGGAUCUUCGGACCUCACGCUAUCAGAUGAGCCUAGGUCGGAUUAGCUAGUUGGUGGGGUAAAGGCCUACCAAGGCGACGAUCCGUAGCUGGUCUGAGAGGAUGAUCAGUCACACUGGAACUGAGACACGGUCCAGACUCCUACGGGAGGCAGCAGUGGGGAAUAUUGGGCAAUGGGCGAAAGCCUGAUCCAGCCAUGCCGCGUGUGUGAAGAAGGUCUUCGGAUUGUAAAGCACUUUAAGUUGGGAGGAAGGGCAGUAAGUUAAUACCUUGCUGUUUUGACGUUACCAACAGAAUAAGCACCGGCUAACUACGUG